Prinia subflava (tawny-flanked prinia) is the source of this 1288-nucleotide long non-coding RNA. RefSeq lists it as uncharacterized. The record is from RefSeq and is a predicted model, not a curated record. The transcript is spliced from 2 exons. NCBI's taxonomy places the organism in Eukaryota, Metazoa, Chordata, Aves, Passeriformes, Cisticolidae.
GUUAUGGUGCCAGAGGCACUGACCAGUGGGAUUGGCUCUCUGUUCUGAAGAUGUUAUUUUCCUCGGAAAUCGCUACAAAUGUCAGUUACAUACUUGAUCCAAGUGGUGUUUAUUUUGCCUCUCCUGAAGGAGAUUGCCAAAGCUGUAUUGAAUAUACAAAGACACUUCCACAGAAUCCUUUCACAGAGAUCUUUGGAAUGACUGAAAAUGCUGCUAUUACCAAGGCUCAGUCAGGAACACAACUGCUACUUAACAACAUUCUUCUUACCACAGGUAUGUAAAGCCACACGCCACCUUACCCUAACCUUCUACUAGUUCACAUUCCCUCCUGAGUUUUUACUGUACUUAUUGUGUUCUAGCUCCAUUCUGGUGAAAUUACUUUUCCACCUAAGAAUAUUUUAAGGGUGUUUUUUUGUUUAUAUUUUUUCUGUCUUCCUGAGGAAACAUUUUGUGACUGUACAGUCAGUUUAUGUGAUCUCCUACUUCCUCCAGCUUUUCAACAAUUUUCAACUCCUUGGCCAGUUCUAGUCCAGUUUGUAAGCCAGGUACAGUCUCGUGCUGCCAUGGUUCAGGAGAAAGAGAGAAAGAUAGGUAGGCAACUGGAUUUAGUUAGUUCUAAGCUGGUAACUUUCACUGCAGUAAUAGAGGGAAUUCUGCUGCUUUAGAGAAAGGCACUUGCAGCAAUUCUUGCCACAGAAUGUAAAACAAGACUGGUGAGGAGGGUUUACAGUUAGUAAAACUCAGAAGUGCUCUGGGCAGACAAUGUUUCUGAAGGAUGGAGUGAGAGUUUCCAGGAUGGGCAGCUUUCUCCAGAAGAGGCCAUGGACCUUUUCCCUGAGCAAUCCAAUGACUGUGGGAUCAGCCAGGAGAUCACAGUAACUUUCCAUGGAAUCCCCCAAUCCUCUGUUCUUGCUAUCAGUAUUGCUCCUACCUGAUCUAGAAGUUUGUAACAUCUGUUGGACAGAGCAUUUGUGUUCGUAUUCAAUUGUUUAAGCAACCCUGUGAAGCAAAGUAUUUUGACACCUUCCUUUUCAGAAUUUCUUUUAGGGACUUUUAGUGAUGUCUGCUGAACUGAAACACAAAAAUAAUCAAUCCUUAAAAAACUCAACAAAAAUAUCUGCUCCUUGAAUAUUUUUUUUAUUUUCUGAAGGCUCCUUAUGUAUAAGGAACAUACAUAAAAUGAACACAACACUGUUGACAAUAAACAAAACUGCAUUUGAUAAUUUCCAGCUUUAUAAAAUUUUUUAAAAAUGAUUUAGUUAUAACAAAAAAAAAUAGCUCAGCAAGU